UCUCUCUUUGCGCGCUCAGCGCUCCGGGGAGCAGGUGGGGGGAGCGCCUCCGUGGACACCCCCCUCCGCGCCCUCACCCGGGUCUCUGAGCCUCCCCGAGGCCCUGGGCCAGCGGAUGCUGGGGAGGGUGCUGAGAGGCGGCCCUCGGCCUCCCCAGGCCGGAUCUCGGGGUGACCGGAGGAGCCUGUGAGAGGGGAAGGGUCGAUGUGGCGCCCCGCGCUCAGGGUCUGGAAGACUGCGCGGCGGGAGCUCUCCGUGGGGUUACAGCUCAGCUGCCACGAGAGGGGGUUUGACGAUAACAUGCUUAAAAAAUAACCGUCGGCUUACUGUGUACGAGCCAUCGUUUUUUAGAGUUUUAUGUGUGCGAUCUUAUUUAAUACUUCCUGGGACCCAGUGAGUUAGGUACCAUCAUUGUCCCCCCCAUUACAGGUGCGGCAACCAGGGCUCGGAGAGUGAUUUGCCCAAGAUAAUUCAGCCGCCACUAAGUGGCAUGGCCAGGAUUUGAUAUUGGAUCUUUUCAGCCUCUAUGCUAUUGUCCUGGUGGGGCUGGGGACGAAGUGCGGGGCUGGGGAAAUGCGUCCUUCCUCCUCACCGCUGCACUCCCGUCCUUGUGGUCUGAUAUGGGGAAAGGGACUGGGAAGCAUCCUAGGUACCCAGCAUCUAAGCCCCGUGAGGGGUGAGGCCAAGACUACUAUUUCAUCCCCCCUCUUUCCCCACAAGCAUCUUCUGUGUUUCUCUGAAGAGGAAAAACACAAACAAAACAACUGAAUCUUCUCCUAACUCCUGCUGCCAUCUCAGGAGGAGCUCAGCAAUCUGAGUGCCCUUCUAUUCCCCACUCCUCCCCGGGGAACUUCAGACUGCCGCCUCCCUCCUCCCUUCCCCCUCCCCCCGCCCCCCGAACCGGCUGGGCUUCCUCCUGGAGUGUCUAAGCCUCUCUUGUGCUGUUACUAUAUGGUCAUUUCCUUGGAAUUCUGGGGAGGGAGGGCUCACCCAGAGGGCUCACUGGGCCACCACUCUUGACUUGUCCAUGCAGCGGCAUGGGAGGCUUUUCAGGACUGAUUUACAGCAAGAGGCCACAUGAAACUGCUGGAGUGAGACCAACUGGAUGAAAAAUAGUUGCAGCCAUCAGCCAAUGACUCCAUUGGCUGAUCUGAAAAUGGGCCGAGGGCAGGCCACGCUAGAGGAAAGCCAGCAGAUUGGGGACACGGGUUCAAGCCCUGGUCUGGGAGGAUCCCACAUGCCGCGGAGCGACUGGGCCCGUGAGCCACAACUGCUGAGCCUGAGCGUCUGGAGCCUGUGCUCCGCGACAAGAGAGGCCGCGAUGGUGAGAGGCCCGCGCACCGCGAUGAAGAGUGGCCCCCGCUUGCCGCAACUGGAGAAAGCCCUCGCACAGAGGCGAAGACCCAACACGGCCAAAAAUAAAAAUAAUAAAUAAAUAAUAAAUUUAAAAAAAAAUUUAAAAAAAAAA
Long non-coding RNA from Balaenoptera acutorostrata (minke whale), 1468 nucleotides. RefSeq lists it as uncharacterized. NCBI's taxonomy places the organism in Eukaryota, Metazoa, Chordata, Mammalia, Artiodactyla, Balaenopteridae. The record is from RefSeq and is a predicted model, not a curated record. The transcript has 3 exons.